CUCUAGACUCUUGGUAAGCGCGUUAGGGAUGGAAAUGGCAUCCUUUUUUUACGUUUUCUCAUACUUCCCGGUUUAUGCAACAAUCCUUAUUAUCGUAAAAAAAGAUAUAAUGGACAGCCCGCCUUUUU
This 128-nucleotide small RNA is filed under the name Bizionia argentinensis JUB59. Its description in RNAcentral is "Flavo-1 RNA". It matches the Rfam family "Flavo-1 RNA". Lineage: Bacteria; Pseudomonadati; Bacteroidota; Flavobacteriia; Flavobacteriales; Flavobacteriaceae. The record is from Rfam by way of RNAcentral.